This 273-nucleotide ribosomal RNA is filed under the name uncultured bacterium. RNAcentral describes it as "partial 16S ribosomal RNA". It matches the Rfam family "Bacterial small subunit ribosomal RNA", at positions 524 to 796 of the family's 1533-position model. The record is from RNAcentral.
CACGUAGGAGGCAAGCGUUAUCCGGAUUUACUGGGCGUAAAGCGCGUGCAGGCGGUUCGGUAAGUUGGAUGUGAAAGCUCCUGGCUCAACUGGGAGAGGUCGUUCAAUACUACCGGACUUGAGAGCAGUAGAGGGAGGUGGAAUUCCCGGUGUAGUAGUGAAAUGCGUAGAUAUCGGGAGGAACACCAGUGGCGAAAGCGGCCUCCUGGACUGUUUCUGACGCUCAGACGCGAAAGCUAGGGGAGCGAACGGGAUUAGAUACCCCGGUAGUCC